This 762-nucleotide long non-coding RNA is filed under the name Rattus norvegicus (Norway rat). RNAcentral describes it as "long non-coding RNA NONRATT010137". The record is from RNAcentral. Lineage: Eukaryota; Metazoa; Chordata; Mammalia; Rodentia; Muridae.
GACCAUUGGGACUCUCGGAGUCUGACCCACCAACAAAAGAACAUGCACCGACUGGACCCAGACCUCCAUACACAUAUGUAACAGAUGUUCAACAUGGUCUUCAUGUGGGUCCCAAACAACUUGAAUGGGGCUAUCUCAAAAGCUCUUGACCGUGCAAGGGAUAUGUUCUUCCAGCUGGACUGCUUAUCUGGCCUCAAUGGGAGAGGAAGUGCUUAGCCUCAAGGAAACUUUAAGUGACAAGGUGAUUGAGGGUCCCACCCACUCAGAAUUGAAGAGGCAGAGUCAUCGAUGAGUCCUGGACUAUUUCACAGGAGCAAGAGGAGAUAACUUCCAAGGUUUGUCUGCCAUUGCAGAAGGUGGCAUCAUGACAAGAUUCUGAUGAUGUGGGGUGACAUUUCAUCCAUUUCCCCCAAGAAAAGGUCAUGACCCAAUGAAGUCUUAAUUGCAGUUGCAUGGAAGAACAAUAAAAGUUUUCUGAAUGGAACAAGCAAAUGACACAAAUCGUACUGGUACUGUUGCUCAGUAGAUAAAAGCUUUUACCAUGCAACUGUGGCAGUCUAAGUUUCCCCCCCAAGCCUCCUGGUGGAAGAAAAGACCUCACUCCUGAAAACUGUCUUGUAACCUCCCAGUAAGUUGUGGCAUUCUCAUGGCCCUCACACUAUACUUAUAUACAUGAUAUAUACAUACACAUGUAAUAAUAAUAAACAAAUGACCUUUGGAAAGAAAUAAAUUGAAGAUCAAACACAGGUGUUUGAUCAAACU